CUCUCCUCUUCCUGCAACCUCUUCUCCUCUUUCCUUCCUCCUCUCUUUGGAAUUAAGUGUGCAAAAGGUGUAUUGGUGUCUAAUAUUGUGAACGGAAAAGAAAGGGAAGGAUGGAGGGGGGAUCCUUGAGACUCAAGCAGAGCUGAUUGUCUCCUCUGCAUCUUCUCAGGAGCUCACAGGCUUCCUGCUCAUUGUACUCAAGGGAGAGCAGGAAAGAGCAGGGUGCUGUCUGUCUGUCUGUGGUUGAUCUGAGGGUCUAGUGCUGAGGGAGAGAAACUUGUCACAGAGCCUGGCACUUUCCAGAAGAAUUCCCUUAAAUCCCUGCCCCCAACUCCAACUCUAACUUCAGCCAGAGAGAGAGGAGAGAGAGAGAGGACAGAGAGAGGAGAGAGAGAGAGGUGAGAGAGAGAGAGAGAGAGAGAGGAGAGAGAGAGAACUUGCUUUUUGAAUCAAAGUUUUAAGUCAUGACAUUCAAAGUUCAUGCAGUGAACACCACUGAGCAUCUACUAAGUGCAUGGCACUGUGCAUGAAGAUGGGCUUAUGGAAAUGAACUUGGGGAGUUUCCAGGCUGAGGCAGAGGAAGCUGAGACAUAGAGAAGACAACAAAUUUUCUGGAGUUCUCACAGUUGGGCUAUGGAAGAAGAAAGAAUUCAAAACCAGAUUGGGUGGCUCCAGAGUUCUGAAUUGAUCUCCCUAGGAGAAUUUUAUCCCUCUUCAUCCUUCUUGGACACUACAGUCAAGUUCUUUCUUAGUUCUCUUGGACCAUUCUGAUUCUAGAAGGACUGACCACCCUGCUACAAUAGAUUGGAGAAUCCCUCAGAUCAGCAGGCCUGAGUAAAACCUCACUGCCAUCAAAGCACCAAAAAUGUGGGCAAAGAUAGCUUGGACUCUACCAGACCAUCUGCCAGCUGACACCAUUGAGUAACAUCCAUUGAUAUUGUGAGGAAGAAAUAAAUCAUCCAGC
Molecule: long non-coding RNA, 964 nt
Filed under: Heterocephalus glaber (naked mole-rat)
Lineage: Eukaryota; Metazoa; Chordata; Mammalia; Rodentia; Bathyergidae
Description: lncRNA (ENSHGLG00000042442.1)
Source: RNAcentral